RNAcentral lists this transfer RNA (73 nucleotides) under Lachnospiraceae bacterium. Its description in RNAcentral is "tRNA-Lys". It matches the Rfam family "tRNA". Rfam says of the family: Transfer RNA (tRNA) molecules are approximately 80 nucleotides in length. Their secondary structure includes four short double-helical elements and three loops (D, anti-codon, and T loops). Further hydrogen bonds mediate the characteristic L-shaped molecular structure. tRNAs have two regions of fundamental functional importance: the anti-codon, which is responsible for specific mRNA codon recognition, and the 3' end, to which the tRNAs corresponding amino acid is attached (by aminoacyl-tRNA synthetases). tRNAs cope with the degeneracy of the genetic code in two manners: having more than one tRNA (with a specific anti-codon) for a particular amino acid; and 'wobble' base-pairing, i.e. permitting non-standard base-pairing at the 3rd anti-codon position. Lineage: Bacteria; Bacillati; Bacillota; Clostridia; Lachnospirales; Lachnospiraceae. The record is from RNAcentral.
GGGAUAUUAGCUCAGUUGGUAGAGCACUUGACUUUUAAUCAAGUUGUCCGGGGUUCGAAUCCCCGAUGUCUCC